AACAAGUCGCUUUCCUGGCAGCUCCAUAUAUAGGCUGCUGGGUGCCUGCUGCCAGCACCUUUGCCUCGGAGCUCCUGGGCUCUGUGGUGGUUCUACUGCCUUUAAGAGCCUUAUGUCCCUUGGUUAUCAGAGGCUGAGCCUUUCUCCAGAGCAUCAGGAAUGCCAGGACUCUUCAUUGGGGUGUUAGCUUUGUGGGAGGGGCUGGAGGAUAUGGGAAGUAGGAUUGGGAAAAAGAGGAAUUGAAGCCUGUGAUUGAAACUAUUUUGUCUCUCUCCUUGUUUUAGAAAAUUAAAGGAUGGGAGUGGUGGGGUCCACACUGAUUGUUCAAUGGGGGAUGGGGUCCUUGGCCCACCCCUGCUUUCCCAUAGGCCCUCCCAUAACCAAGGGCACCUAUUUUGAGAUGGCUGGCCCCCCAGCCUGGGGACUAUGCUGGAAGCAGUCUCCAUCUUUGAUGUGGAACCAAGAAGCAUUAAUGGAUCCAUAGAGAGACUGAGCCUCAACCCACUGGCCUCAGUAGUCCACGUUUUGACCAACUGAAUGAAUUGGCCCUCGAUGACAAUGAAAUGGAUUUUUGAAAAAAUCAGUGGGGAUAGAGAAAUGGAAGGACCCUCUGGUCAAAUGCCUAGAGAAUACUCCCAGCUAACACUGAUGGGUGCUAACCCUGUGCUAGCAGUUUCUAUUUGUCAGCUCCUUUCCUGCUGCUCACCGCAGCUCUAUGACGUAGGUGAUUUUAUUGUCCACAUUUUAUGGAAGAGGAAUCUGAGGAACAGAGAGUUUAAGUUUUGAUCCAGGAUUAAGAAGCUAGAAGGUGGAGAUCUGGGACAUAAACUCAGAAGUUGGGUUCCGGUACUGUGCCCCUAACCACUUUACUCUCUUGCUUCUACUUUCUCACGUCGGCCGCAUUGCCUUCCUAUCAGUCUCCUGAUCCAGCCCCUGACUUGGCUAUCCAGGCAGGAAGCCGCCUAUCCCACAGCAGACCUGGUCCUCCAGAGACAGCUCCCCAGAUGGGGAAUGCAGCUGCCAUGUCAUGAGCACACUCAAGCAGCCCUCUGGAGAGGCUCAUCUGGAGAAGAACUGGAGCUUCUCACUGUCAUCCAGCACCAGCCAUAAGAGUAAGCCAACUUAGACCCGGAUCCUCCAGCCCCAGCCAGGCUUUCUGGAUGUUUCAGCCAACAUCUUGACUUUACCCUCCUGAGACUUUCAUGAGAGGCAGAAAUAUCCACUGAAGCUGCUCCCGAAUUUGUGGCUCACAGAUACUGAGCUCAGAUACUGUGUGAGAUAAUAAAUGUUUAUUGUUUUAAGCUGCUA
Homo sapiens (human) is the source of this 1308-nucleotide long non-coding RNA. RefSeq lists it as uncharacterized. NCBI's taxonomy places the organism in Eukaryota, Metazoa, Chordata, Mammalia, Primates, Hominidae. The record is from RefSeq and is a predicted model, not a curated record. The transcript has 2 exons.